AACGAACGCUGGCGGCAGGCCUAACACAUGCAAGUCGAACGCUCCGCAAGGGGGAGUGGCGCACGGGUGAGUAACACGUGGGAACCUACCUUCUGGUACGGAACAACCAAGGGAAACUUUGGCUAAGACCGUAUACGACCUCCGGGUGAAAGAUUGAUCGCCGGAAGAGGGGCCCGCGUCCGAUUAGGGUAGUUGGUGAGGUAACGGCUCACCAAGCCUUCGAUCGGUAGCUGGUCUGAGAGGAUGACCAGCCACACUGGGACUGAGACACGGCCCAGACUCCUACGGGAGGCAGCAGUGGGGAAUAUUGGACAAUGGGCGCAAGCCUGAUCCAGCCAUGCCGCGUGAGUGAUG
RNAcentral lists this ribosomal RNA (354 nucleotides) under uncultured bacterium. RNAcentral describes it as "bacterial SSU rRNA". It matches the Rfam family "Bacterial small subunit ribosomal RNA", at positions 29 to 410 of the family's 1533-position model. The record is from RNAcentral.